Molecule: long non-coding RNA, 1041 nt
Filed under: Sus scrofa (pig)
Lineage: Eukaryota; Metazoa; Chordata; Mammalia; Artiodactyla; Suidae
Description: lncRNA (ENSSSCG00060008697.1)
Source: RNAcentral
UGAGUUAAACAGCCCAGCUUUAGUAAUUUAGAGUUCAUCAGGUUUGUCCUUCUGUGUCCUUAGUGUCAAUGGUCUUCAUGUUUUUUCUUUAUAGACUUCACUUACGAGUACAUCAUGACGAUAAAAGAUAUGAGUGUGACGAAUGCGGGAAGACGUUCAUUCGCCACGAUCACCUUACAAAGCACAAGAAAAUACAUUCAGAUUGAUGUUCAGGAAGUGCUAAGAGAGCCAGCUAAUGAGCACAAUAAUGGGAAAGAGCCAUCUCUGUGAGCACAGUAGAACAGGUGAUUAUUAUUAUUAUUAUAAAUGUAAUUUAAAGUAUGCAACAGAUAUAACAUUUACUUAAAAUGAUCCCGAUGAGGCAGGUUGCGGAUGUUAUUACCACUUUUAAGAGAUGCUAAAGAGAUGUCUGAUGACUUUUUUUGCUGGAAUUAUGCAUUUCCAUUUUCAGGAGGAGAGUUCUAAAUUCCUAAUUCUAGAGGUCACAUGGUCUAAUCACACACAAGUCUUAAGUUGAGACAGUGGUUUUUAAAGGCCAGGCCUUUGUAAUGGAAAUAGAAGAAGAGAGAUGACAAACCGCACUCGUCUAGAAUUUUCCUUUGUAUUUUGGCUCAUUGCAAAUAUAAGAAAUCCCCACCAUUGAAAAAUCUUUUAAAAGUAAAGUACAAAGAUCUGAAAAUGUUCAGGUCCUUUUUGUAAACAGUACGACAGCCUCAUCCUGAUUGAGUGUUCAUUCGAAGUGUUUGGUAUCCAGACUUACAUAUUCCUAAAAACAAUCCCAAGAUUUGAAGUCCUUUCACUUCUCUUACUCUGUUACACUCAAAGUCAGGAUUUAAAGUCUACAGCAGAAGGCUGCUGACUGCUUCUCCAAGUGGGGAAGAGGAUUCACAUCCAUGGAAAUAAGUACAGAUUCAUUGAAGACACGUAUUUGAGUAGGAAUAUAAGGGCCAGGUAAAGGGUGGCUUUACUUUCUACCAUCGUAUUUUACUGUUGGAUAAUUUGUUUUUAGGGGUUAAAAAAACCCAAAAAGGAGUUCCCGUC